AUGGCUGUGAGAAUCCUCUCAUUGACAUCAAGUUCUUCAGUCUGUGAAAGGAAUUGGAGUACCUUCGAAAAUAUACAUACGAAGAAAAGAAAUAGGCUAACUACAAAACGUCUAAACUCUCUUGUGUUCAUACAAUUCAACUCGAGAAUGAUGGCCAAGAAAAAUAUGAUCAAGGAGAAGAAGAUCACUGAUGUCCUCUUAUCCGCUGAAACUACUGAAGCUCAAGGUUUUCUUUUUGAGGGCGGAGAUGAUUAUGCAGAAGUCAUCUAUAUGGAUAAAGAUGAGGAGGAGAUGAAUAGUACAGGGAUGCCAGGGAGUGGCAUUGGAGAAGCAAUGGGAGGCGAUGAACUGCUCGAGCCACGUAGAAGUGCGAGACCAAGACAACUUUAUGAAGAAGAAGAAUUUGAUUCUGAAGAAGAGGAAUUUGAUGAUGAGGAGGAGAUGCAUUCAGAUGAGGAGAAUGGCUAUUAA
RNAcentral lists this ribosomal RNA (471 nucleotides) under Triticum aestivum (bread wheat). RNAcentral's name for it is "partial small subunit ribosomal RNA". The record is from RNAcentral. Lineage: Eukaryota; Viridiplantae; Streptophyta; Magnoliopsida; Poales; Poaceae.